GGGGAAUUUUCCGCAAUGGGCGAAAGCCUGACGGAGCAAUACCGCGUGAGGGAGGAAGGCUCUUGGGUUGUAAACCUCUUUUCUCAGGGAAGAAAAAAAUGACGGUACCUGAGGAAUAAGCAUCGGCUAACCCCGUGCCAGCAGCCGCGGUAAUACGGAGGAUGCAAGCGUUAUCCGGAAUGAUUGGGCGUAAAGCGUCCGCAGGUGGCUGUGUAAGUCUGCUGUUAAAGAGCAAAGCUCAACUUUGUAAGAGCAGUGGAAACUACACGGCUAGAGUGCGUUCGGGGCAGAGGGAAUUCCUGGUGUAGCGGUGAAAUGCGUAGAGAUCAGGAAGAACACCGGUGGCGAAGGCGCUCUGCUAGGCCGCAACUGACACUGAGGGACGAAAGCUAGGGGAGCGAAUGGGAUUAGAUACCCCAGUAGUCCUAGCCGUAAACGAUGGAUACUAGGCGUUGCGAGUAUCGACCCUCGCAGUGCCGGAGCCAACGCGUUAAGUAUCCCGCCUGGGGAGUACGCACGCAAGUGUGAAACUCAAAGGAAUUGACGGGGGCCCGCACAAGCGGUGGAGUAUGUGGUUUAAUUCGAUGCAACGCGAAGAACCUUACCAAGACUUGACAUGUCGCGAAUUCCUCUGAAAGGAGGAAGUGCCUUCGGGAGCGCGAACACAGGUGGUGCAUGGCUGUCGUCAGCUCGUGUCGUGAGAUGUUGGGUUAAGUCCCGCAACGAGCGCAACCCUCGUUUUUAGUUGCCAGCAUUAAGUUGGGCACUCUAGAGAGACUGCCGGUGACAAACCGGAGGAAGGUGGGGAUGACGUCAAGUCAGCAUGCCCCUUACGUCUUGGGCUACACACGUACUACAAUGCUACGGACAGAGGGCAGCAAGCUAGUGAUAGCAAGCAAAUCCCGUAAACCGUAGCUCAGUUCAGAUCGAAGCUUGCAACUCAGCUUCGUGAAGGAGGAAUCGCUAGUAAUUGCAGGUCAGCAUACUGCAGUGAAUUCGUUCCCGGGCCUUGUACACACCGCCCGUCACACCAUGGAAGCUGGCAACGCCCGAAGUCAUUACCCCAACCUUUCGGGGAGGGGGAUGCCUAAGGCAGUGCUGGUGACUGGGGUGAAGUCGUAACAAGGUAGCCGUACCGGAAGGUGUGGCUGGAUCACCUCCUU
This 1163-nucleotide ribosomal RNA is filed under the name Trichormus anomalus HA4352-LM2. Its description in RNAcentral is "bacterial SSU rRNA". It matches the Rfam family "Bacterial small subunit ribosomal RNA", at positions 356 to 1532 of the family's 1533-position model. The record is from RNAcentral. Lineage: Bacteria; Bacillati; Cyanobacteriota; Cyanophyceae; Nostocales; Nostocaceae.